GGAGAGAUGGCCGAGCGGUCGAAGGCGGUUGACUCGAAAUCAAUUGUGCCCGAGAGGGUACCGGGGGUUCGAAUCCUCCUCUCUCCGCCA
Molecule: transfer RNA, 90 nt
Filed under: Nitrospina sp.
Lineage: Bacteria; Pseudomonadati; Nitrospinota; Nitrospinia; Nitrospinales; Nitrospinaceae
Description: tRNA-Ser
Rfam family: tRNA
About the family: Transfer RNA (tRNA) molecules are approximately 80 nucleotides in length. Their secondary structure includes four short double-helical elements and three loops (D, anti-codon, and T loops).
Source: RNAcentral